GUUUGAUCCUGGCUCAGGAUGAACGCUGGCGGCGUGCUUAACACAUGCAAGUCGAACGGUCCAUUUUCGGAUGGAUAGUGGCGGACGGGUGCGUAACACGUAGGUGACCUGCCCUGGAGUGGGGAAUAAUUCCGCGAAAGCGGGACUAAUACCGCAUAGGGUCGUGGAUUCGGUUUCACGAGGAAAGCAGCGAUGCGCUCCGGGAUGGGCCUGCGGCCGAUUAGCUAGUUGGUGGGGUAACGGCCUACCAAGGCGAUGAUCGGUAGGGGGCGUGAGAGCGUGGCCCCCCACAUUGGCACUGAGACACGGGCCAAACUCCUACGGGAGGCAGCAGUGAGGAAUAUUGCGCAAUGGGCGAAAGCCUGACGCAGCAACGCCGCGUGAGGGACGAAGGCCUUCGGGUCGUAAACCUCUUUUUUGAGGGACGAGGAAGGACGGUACCUCAGGAAUAAGUCUCGGCUAACUACGUGCCAGCAGCCGCGGUAAAACGUAGGAGGCGAGCGUUAUCCGGAUUUACUGGGCGUAAAGCGCACGCAGGCGGGUCAGCAAGUCGGAUGUGAAAGCUCCUGGCUUAACUGGGAGAGGCCAUUCGAAACUGCUGGGCUUGAGGUUGGGAGAGGGGUGUGGAAUUCCCGGUGUAGUGGUGGAAUGCGUAGAUAUCGGGAGGAACACCAGUGGCGAAGGCGGCACCCUGGCCCACACCUGACGCUGAGGUGCGAAAGCGUGGGGAGUAAACAGGAUUAGAUACCCUGGUAAUCCACGCUGUAAACGAUGUCAACUAGGUGUCGGUGGUGUUACACUAUCGGUGCCGAAGCUAACGCGUUAAGUUGACCGCCUGGGGACUACGGCCGCAAGGCUAAAACUCAAAUGAAUUGACGG
This 879-nucleotide ribosomal RNA is filed under the name uncultured bacterium. RNAcentral's name for it is "bacterial SSU rRNA". It matches the Rfam family "Bacterial small subunit ribosomal RNA", at positions 11 to 916 of the family's 1533-position model. The record is from RNAcentral.